AACGAACGCUGGCGGCAUGCCUAACACAUGCAAGUCGAACGCCCUCUUCGGAGGGAGUGGCGCACGGGUGCGUAACGCGUGGGAACCUGCCCUUAGGUUCGGAAUAACUCAGAGAAAUUUGAGCUAAUACCGGAUAAUGUCUUCGGACCAAAGAUUUAUCGCCUUUGGAUGGGCCCGCGUUGGAUUAGCUAGUUGGUGGGGUAAAGGCCUACCAAGGCGACGAUCCAUAGCUGGUCUGAGAGGAUGAUCAGCCACACUGGGACUGAGACACGGCCCAGACUCCUACGGGAGGCAGCAGUGGGGAAUAUUGGACAAUGGGCGAAAGCCUGAUCCAGCAAUGCCGCGUGAGUGAUGAAGGCCUUAGG
Molecule: ribosomal RNA, 365 nt
Filed under: Porphyrobacter sp. R-23151
Lineage: Bacteria; Pseudomonadati; Pseudomonadota; Alphaproteobacteria; Sphingomonadales; Erythrobacteraceae
Description: bacterial SSU rRNA
Rfam family: Bacterial small subunit ribosomal RNA
Source: RNAcentral